CCAAUAGCGUAUAUUAAAGUUGUUGCAGUUAAAAAGCUCGUAGUUGAAUUUCGGGAUUCAUCCGUUGGUCGGGCUUCACGGUCCGCACUGGUGUGAUGGGUUCCUACCUUCUGAAUAACCGGCAUGCCAUUAAUUUGGUGCGCCGGGGAAGCAGAACUAUUACCUUGAAAAAAUUAGAGUGCUUAAAGCAGGCAAGUGCCUGAAUAGGUUAGCAUGGAAUAAUAAAAUAGGACGGCAUGGUUCUAUUUUGUUGGUUUCUAGGAUCACCGUAAUGAUUAAUAGGGAUAGUUGGGGGCAUUAGUAUUCAAUUGUCAGAGGUGAAAUUCUUGGAUUUAUUGAAGACUAACUUCUGCGAAAGCAUUUGCCAAGGAUGUUUUCAUUAAUCAAGAACGAAAGUUAGGGGAUCGAAGACGAUCAGAUACCGUCGUAGUCUUAACCAUAAACUAUGCCGACUAGGGAUCGGACGAUGUUAAUUUUUUAAUGACUCGUUCGGCGCCUUACG
RNAcentral lists this unclassified non-coding RNA (502 nucleotides) under uncultured Acaulospora. RNAcentral's name for it is "SSU rRNA". It matches the Rfam family "Eukaryotic small subunit ribosomal RNA", at positions 591 to 1092 of the family's 1831-position model. The record is from RNAcentral. Lineage: Eukaryota; Fungi; Glomeromycota; Glomeromycetes; Diversisporales; Acaulosporaceae.